AUUGAACGCUGGCGGCAGGCCUAACACAUGCAAGUCGAACGGUAACAGGAAACUGCCUGCUGUUUUGAUGAGCGGAGGGGGGAGGGAGAGCUAUGACUGUGCCACUUAGUGAUGGAGGGCGUCCACAACUGGGCACUGUAACCAAUAACGCCUUGCGUCGGAAGGCGGAGGAGGGUGGGACCUCGCGCUAUUAGCUUAGGCUGGGUCGGAUUAGCUAGUUGGUGGGGUAAGGGCCUACCAAGGCGACGAUCCGUAACUGGUCUGAGAGGAUGAGCAGUCACACUGGAACUGAGACACGGUCCAGACUCCUACGGGAGGCAGCAGUGGGGAAUAUUGGACAAUGGGCGCAAGCCUGAUGCAGCCAUGCCGCGUGUGUGAAGAAGGUCUUCGGAUUGUAAAGUACUUUCAGCUGGGAGGAAGGGAAUUAAGUUAAUACCUUGGCUUAUUGACGUUACCCACAGAAUAAGCACCGGCUAACUCCGUG
This 484-nucleotide ribosomal RNA is filed under the name uncultured bacterium. Its description in RNAcentral is "partial 16S ribosomal RNA". It matches the Rfam family "Bacterial small subunit ribosomal RNA", at positions 30 to 507 of the family's 1533-position model. The record is from RNAcentral.